CAGUAGCCGCGGUAAAACGUAGGGUGCAAGCGUUAAUCGGAAUUACUGGGCGUAAAGCGUGCGCAGGCGGUUAUAUAAGUCAGAUGUGAAAUCCCCGGGCUCAACCUGGGAACUGCAUUUGAGACUGUAUGGCUAGAGUGUGUCAGAGGGGGGUAGAAUUCCACGUGUAGCAGUGAAAUGCGUAGAUAUGUGGAGGAAUACCGAUGGCGAAGGCAGCCCCCUGGGAUAACACUGACGCUCAUGCACGAAAGCGUGGGGAGCAAACAGGAUUAGAUACCCGCGUAGUCCCUGUCUCUUAUAC
Molecule: ribosomal RNA, 301 nt
Filed under: uncultured bacterium
Lineage: Bacteria
Description: partial 16S ribosomal RNA
Rfam family: Bacterial small subunit ribosomal RNA
Source: RNAcentral